AUGAAAUGCAAGGGUGCUCUUCUUAGACGCCCGACCCAUUCUCAUCUCACACUGUGCACACAACCUUUUUUACACCAAUUUUAAUACACAUAGUCUAAGAAUGUUAAACAGUCUCCUUAAUCGGAGCAUGAAAGUAAUA
RNAcentral lists this unclassified non-coding RNA (139 nucleotides) under uncultured fungus. RNAcentral describes it as "sequence contains ITS1, 5.8S rRNA gene". The record is from RNAcentral. Lineage: Eukaryota; Fungi.